GAUGAAGAACGUAGCGAAAUGCGAUACGUAAUGUGAAUUGCAGAAUUCAGUGAAUCAUCGAAUCUUUGAACGCACAUUGCGCCCGCCAGCACUCUGGCGGGCAUGCCUGUUCGAGCGUCAUUUCAACCAUCAAGCCCCAGGCUUGCGUUGGAGCCCUGCGGCUGCCGCAGCCUCCUAAAAGCAGUGGCGGGCUCGCUAUCACACCGAGUGCAGUAGAUUACUCUUCGCUCAGGGCGUGCAGCGGGUUCCGGCCGUGAAACCCCCUACUUUUAAAGGUUGACCUCGGAUCAAGUAGGAAUACCCGCUGAACUUAAGCAUAUCAAUAAGCGGAGGA
This 334-nucleotide unclassified non-coding RNA is filed under the name soil metagenome. RNAcentral's name for it is "partial contains 5.8S ribosomal RNA, internal transcribed spacer 2, and large subunit ribosomal RNA". The stretch from base 1 to 120 matches the Rfam family "5.8S ribosomal RNA", at positions 35 to 154 of the family's 154-position model. The record is from RNAcentral.